CCUACGGGAGGCAGCAGUGGGGAAUAUUGGACAAUGGGCGAAAGCCUGAUCCAGCCAUGCCGCGUGUGUGAAGAAGGCCUUCGGGUUGUAAAGCACUUUCAGUGGGGAAGAAAGCCUUGGGGCUAAUACCCUCGAGGAAGGACAUCACCCACAGAAGAAGCACCGGCUAACUCCGUGCCAGCAGCCGCGGUAAUACGGAGGGUGCGAGCGUUAAUCGGAAUUACUGGGCGUAAAGCGCGCGUAGGCGGUCUGAUAAGCCGGUUGUGAAAGCCCCGGGCUCAACCUGGGAACGGCAUCCGGAACUGUCAGGCUAGAGUGCAGGAGAGGAAGGUAGAAUUCCCGGUGUAGCGGUGAAAUGCGUAGAGAUCGGGAGGAAUACCAGUGGCGAAGGUGGCCUUCUGGACUGACACUGACGCUGAGGUGCGAAAGCGUGGGUAGCAAACAGGAUUAGAUACCCUAGUAGUC
RNAcentral lists this ribosomal RNA (465 nucleotides) under Vreelandella stevensii. RNAcentral's name for it is "partial 16S ribosomal RNA". It matches the Rfam family "Bacterial small subunit ribosomal RNA", at positions 338 to 795 of the family's 1533-position model. The record is from RNAcentral. Lineage: Bacteria; Pseudomonadati; Pseudomonadota; Gammaproteobacteria; Oceanospirillales; Halomonadaceae.